This 253-nucleotide ribosomal RNA is filed under the name uncultured bacterium. RNAcentral describes it as "partial 16S ribosomal RNA". It matches the Rfam family "Bacterial small subunit ribosomal RNA", at positions 524 to 776 of the family's 1533-position model. The record is from RNAcentral.
UACGUAGGGUGCGAGCGUUAAUCGGAAUUACUGGGCGUAAAGCGUGCGCAGGCGGUCUCUUAAGACAGGUGUGAAAUCCCCGGGCUUAACCUGGGAACUGCGCUUGUAACUGAGAGGCUAGAGUGUGACAGAGGGGGGUGGAAUUCCACGUGUAGCAGUGAAAUGCGUAGAGAUGUGGAGGAACACCGAUGGCGAAGGCAGCCCCCUGGGCUAACACUGACGCUCAUGCACGAAAGCGUGGGGAGCAAACAGG